GUAGGUACCUCAGCCGGUGCGAUGACAACCACCUUGCAUUGUGAUAAGUUUUAAAAACUUUUUCAAAAUAACAGUCGAGUGAAGUGUAUUUAAGAUUCUGGUUUCAUCAUUCACGGAAAGGGCCUCCUUGGAGAUCACUAUAGAGAGAAAUAUUACGCCGAUAUAAUUAGAAAACAUACAAUUUGAUCGGAGUUCUUUUCGGCAAAUAGAUAUUGAGAAUGACUUCCCGCGGCACCUCACUCACUCCGGACCUCUUUCUCCAUAAAUGUCUUGCCA
Long non-coding RNA from Salvia splendens (bonfire salvia), 276 nucleotides. RefSeq lists it as uncharacterized. The record is from RefSeq and is a predicted model, not a curated record. The transcript is spliced from 3 exons. NCBI's taxonomy places the organism in Eukaryota, Viridiplantae, Streptophyta, Magnoliopsida, Lamiales, Lamiaceae.